This 254-nucleotide ribosomal RNA is filed under the name uncultured bacterium. RNAcentral's name for it is "partial 16S ribosomal RNA". It matches the Rfam family "Bacterial small subunit ribosomal RNA", at positions 74 to 334 of the family's 1533-position model. The record is from RNAcentral.
CAAACCAAAGCUGGCGACCGGCGCACGGGUGAGUAACACGUAUCCAACCUGCCUCAUACUCGGGGAUAGCCUUUCGAAAGAAAGAUUAAUGUCCGAUAGCAUAUAUUUCCCGCAUGGGUUUUAUAUUAAAGAAAUUCGGUAUGAGAUGGGGAUGCGUUCCAUUAGUUUGUUGGGGGGUAACGGCCCACCAAGACUACGAUGGAUAGGGGUUCUGAGAGGAAGGUCCCCCACAUUGGAACUGAGACACGGUCCAA